This 1376-nucleotide long non-coding RNA is filed under the name Anas platyrhynchos platyrhynchos (common mallard). RNAcentral's name for it is "lncRNA (ENSAPLG00000027506.1)". Lineage: Eukaryota; Metazoa; Chordata; Aves; Anseriformes; Anatidae. The record is from RNAcentral.
CUUCUGAUGUUCUCAUCCUAAAUGCCUCCACAGAUUUGACUGGUUCCAGGUCAACAGAUCCUUCUCACUCCCUGUAGCACACUUCUGCUUUUCAUCCUUGUAACAGAUACCUCAUUACAGAAUCAGGAUUGCAUGAUGUCAAAAGGGUUGCAUUGCAAAGCACAGAUAUGUCAUUCCCGUUACAGAUGCAGAAACCAUACCGAUGGAUUGAUCUUGAAUUUCAAAACAGACUGUUGCCAGUGGGUCUGUCAAAAACUGCAAGACCAGCAAGUACCAGUGCUGCUUUCAGAGGCUUCUGCUCAGAAAAUUUCAUCUGCAACACCAAUCUGGGAAGAAAAAGGGGAGAAAUUUCCAAUGGGGAGAGGAAAGAAAACAAGAACAGGCUUGGAAGAAAGAGAGCAAAGAAGUGCAGGCCACCAGGACUACAUGCUCACUAGCCACCUGGAUUUUAGAACAUAGCCAGAGAUUAUGCAAAUAACUGUGCUGCUUAGUUGCCUCUGCUGGGCUCAGUCCCAGAAGGAUCGUAGAAGAACACAGCAUCCCAAGAUUUGAUAGAAAUGGCAGCAAAGGUGGUAAAGCUUACAUCUAAUCCAGAAAACUAGACUUUGUCUACCUCCACAAUGGACAGCACAGAUCUCCACCACUUGGAAUCACAAGUAUCAAGCAACUCCUCCUCAGAGCCAGAGAAUGGGCCUUGGCCAAAAUUUCUUACUGGAAAAGAUACAGCUAUCUUCUUUUUCCUAAUAGUUAGGAACAUACUGUGGCUGGUUCACUUCUGUCUCAUCUCAUACUUUUUUUGCAUCAAAUACAAUCUUAACACAACCCUUCAAUAACAUCAGUUGUAAUUUUAUUGCAGUUUCUUAUUUUUUAUUUGUAAGUUUCACAAACUAUUUGCAGUAGGCUAAGUCACUGUUUUUUGCCCUUGACAACUGUUCAAAAACUCCAUAUCCAAAUUUCCUAGCAUUUGCCUUCCCUUUAGCUCAGAGAAGCCCAGGUGAUGCUCUGUAAAGCAGAGAGACCACUUGGCAAGAGUAUUAAAAAAAAAAAAAAAAAAAAAAAAAGAGUUGACAACCAGCUGCCAGCAACAGAAGGGACCUUUUCAGUAAACACUGUCAAUGUAUUCAUAAAUCACCCAGACAAAAAGGAAGGGAAAGUGCAGUCAGAGUUAUAAUGUCCCGGAGAAGCACUGUUUGAUUGUUGUUUACAGGACAAGAAGCAUGUGGCUGGAGCUUUUUAGAGAGCCUCUGAAGUUCAUUGCUUCCUUCUCUGAAUCUCACUUGCUUUUACAUGUUGUCACUACAGUCAUUCACAUACCAGCAAUCUGAUAGCAAGAACGGAGCAAUUUCAGGAAGCGAAUGCUAUAACAUUUUGUUGCU